RNAcentral lists this ribosomal RNA (482 nucleotides) under uncultured bacterium. Its description in RNAcentral is "bacterial SSU rRNA". It matches the Rfam family "Bacterial small subunit ribosomal RNA", at positions 31 to 506 of the family's 1533-position model. The record is from RNAcentral.
GAGCGCUGGCGGAAUGCUUUACACAUGCAAGUCGAACGGCAGCACGGGGGCAACCCUGGUGGCGAGUGGCGAACGGGUGAGUAACGCAUCGGAACGCGUCCUGUAAUGGGGGAUAACCUGGCGAAAGCCAGGCUAAUACCGCAUACGUCCUGAGGGAGAAAGCGGGGGAUUGGCAACGACCUCGCGUUAUAGGAGCGGCCGAUGUCGGAUUAGCUAGUUGGUGGGGUAAAGGCCUACCAAGGCGACGAUCCGUAGCGGGUCUGAGAGGACGGCCCGCCACACUGGGACUGAGACACGGCCCAGACUCCUACGGGAGGCAGCAGUGGGGAAUUUUGGACAAUGGGCGCAAGCCUGAUCCAGCCAUUCCGCGUGAGUGAAGAAGGCCUUCGGGUUGUAAAGCUCUUUCGGCCGGGAAGAAAUCGCAUCUCCUAAUAUGGGGUGUGGAUGACGGUACCGGAAGAAGAAGCACCGGCUAACUACGU